CGCCUAUUGAUUGUCACAAUAAGUUCAAUGACUCGAGCUUCUUUUCUUGCGCUGUUCUCCCACUUCAUGAUUCAACUACAUCGUUCUGGGCUCUGCAAGUUUGCUUUCCUGAAGAUAGUCUUCUUCAAAAAAGCCAGGUCUGCCUGGUUGGUCACGCCGAAAAGAACAGCUGGUAGGCAACACAUCACAGUGGUCAGGUGACCCUUUGGAAGAAGACUGGAGAUGACAGUCGAAACAUGUCAGAUAAAGGAAGUCCAGCUGAGUCUACACCGAGGGCUUGUUUGCUCGCCACGUGCUUGAGACGGUGCCGAGUCUGCAACCGGAUGUGACGUCAUCAAAUGUAUCUGUGGGGGGAGGUAUAGUCAGUGCUGCUUGCAGGAGGAAUAGUCACCGCCGCUGUCCAUGGUACUGAGGACGAGCGCCAUCGGGCAGGGGCGGGGUAUGUGCUGGCGGCGAGACACAGCUGGCAGGUGAUUAGAUUUCCCAGGUGGUACGUGUUAAUCUAAUUGAUAAUAAUUGAUAAUCUAGUUGAUAAAACAUAUGAGCAUUAAAACUUUGUUAA
Molecule: long non-coding RNA, 562 nt
Organism: Entelurus aequoreus (snake pipefish)
Lineage: Eukaryota; Metazoa; Chordata; Actinopteri; Syngnathiformes; Syngnathidae
Exons: 4
Source: RefSeq, a predicted model, not a curated record